RNAcentral lists this ribosomal RNA (479 nucleotides) under Salmonella enterica subsp. enterica serovar Bareilly. RNAcentral's name for it is "partial 23S ribosomal RNA". It matches the Rfam family "Bacterial large subunit ribosomal RNA", at positions 583 to 1063 of the family's 2925-position model. Lineage: Bacteria; Pseudomonadati; Pseudomonadota; Gammaproteobacteria; Enterobacterales; Enterobacteriaceae. The record is from RNAcentral.
CUUUGGGGUGUGACUGCGUACCUUUUGUAUAAUGGGUCAGCGACUUAUAUUCUGUAGCAAGGUUAACCGAAUAGGGGAGCCGGAGGGAAACCGAGUCUUAAUUGGGCGUUAAGUUGCAGGGUAUAGACCCGAAACCCGGUGAUCUAGCCAUGGGCAGGUUGAAGGUUGGGUAACACUAACUGGAGGACCGAACCGACUAAUGUUGAAAAAUUAGCGGAUGACCUGUGGCUGGGGGUGAAAGGCCAAUCAAACCGGGAGAUAGCUGGUUCUCCCCGAAAGCUAUUUAGGUAGCGCCUCGUGAAUUCAUCUCCGGGGGUAGAGCACUGUUUCGGCUAGGGGGCCAUCCCGGCUUACCAACCCGAUGCAAACUGCGAAUACCGGAGAAUGUUAUCACGGGAGACACACGGCGGGUGCUAACGUCCGUCGUGAAGAGGGAAACAACCCAGACCGCCAGCUAAGGUCCCAAAGUCAUGGUUAAG